UACGGAGGGGGCUAGCGUUGUUCGGAAUUACUGGGCGUAAAGCGCACGUAGGCGGCGAUCUAAGUCAGAGGUGAAAGCCUGGAGCUCAACUCCAGAACUGCCUUUGAGACUGGAUUGCUAGAAUCUUGGAGAGGCGGGUGGAAUUCCGAGUGUAGAGGUGAAAUUCGUAGAUAUUCGAGAACAGCAACGUACGCGAAGGCUGGACGAAUGGACGUAC
Molecule: ribosomal RNA, 217 nt
Filed under: uncultured bacterium
Lineage: Bacteria
Description: partial 16S ribosomal RNA
Rfam family: Bacterial small subunit ribosomal RNA
Source: RNAcentral